This 253-nucleotide ribosomal RNA is filed under the name uncultured bacterium. RNAcentral's name for it is "partial 16S ribosomal RNA". It matches the Rfam family "Bacterial small subunit ribosomal RNA", at positions 524 to 776 of the family's 1533-position model. The record is from RNAcentral.
UACGUAGGUGGCAAGCGUUGUCCGGAUUUAUUGGGCGUAAAGCGCGCGCAGGCGGUCCUUUAAGUCUGAUGUGAAAUCUUGCGGCUCAACCGCAAGCGGUCAUUGGAAACUGGGGGACUUGAGUACAGAAGAGGAAAGCGGAAUUCCACGUGUAGCGGUGAAAUGCAUAGAUAUGACACAGAACACCGAUUGCGAAGGCAGCUGACGAAACUGUAACUGACGCUGAGGCUCGAAAGCGUGGGGAUCAAACAGG